UGCCACGCGUUAAGAAUAAUCUGGGGACUUCCGCUGCGGCGUGCCUGACGCUCUUCUGGUGCGCAUAACCCGCAGAGUUAUUCUUUUUUUUUUCUUGAGCGAGCUUGCCGGAAGUUGGAUUUGCUUGACAACAUCCGUCCACUCAGUUUGCAAAUGGCGUUCGAACAGCGGAGGGCGUCGGUCCCGAACCUUGCCUUCAGGGAUCAUCAGCGCAAGACGAAACGAGCAUUCGAGAAUCGACGGAUUCCAGCCGGCGUUUGUGUAAGGGGCUGAGCACUACCGGCCAUGGGCGGAACCAGACUGUCGACCGCGAGGCAUUCUCGUGGCACGUGCUUCGAACAACGCGAGGACAGACAGCCGGGCCAAGCUACAUUUGCCAGAAGACUAGGAUUUCCCCGUCGCUCAUGGUUCGAACAACAACUAGGGGACGAACAGCCGGGCCUAGUUCCGUUUCCCAGGAGGGAAGAUGAGUGCAUUCCUUUCUAUUCUUAGAAGCUGGGCAAUUACGCUCAGUGAAUUUUUUGGGUAGCAGCUAUGCGAUGUGUGCCUUUGGUUGAUUUAUGCUACCGAGAUGAAACAGAGCGCAUUCCUCUGUAAUUUUAAUCACGACCUUGUAGAUCAGCCUCGUUUCUAGCCAGUGGUUUUAGGUCACUGAAGCAUUCUUUGUUUUUCUUUAGCAAGCCCCCGGGUGAAUGUGCAUCGAUACAAGCCUUAACCGUAUCUGCAAUAUGUUGCAGUAUCAGCAUUCCGAGGUGCUGACUUCCGGCUUCAGCAUUCCGCCUUCAGCGAGGACUCAAUAGCUGUGCUGAGUCGACUCAAGCGCCUGUGUGGUGCAGCGUCCGCUGAACUGGGAGGCUGUGUUAUCCGGUGCCUCGUCUUCAGCCAUUCAUUACAGCGAGGGAUCUGGUUGAAAGCGCAUCGAAGCAACUACUGGGUACCCGUAUCUGGAAUAUUUCGCAGGUGUGUAAAUUUUUUUCCCUCCUAACUGAAAAACUCGGAUUGUCCAAUUGACUGAUAAGCAGCAGCACCCUAUCAAAUAGCUGGUCAAGCACUUCUCUGGCAUGAAUGUGAACUUUAAAAAAAUAACUUGUCGUGAAACAGGUGUCACGUAUACAAAUCAAACUUUCGAAGUUCUUUCGGUGACUAAACAAGAACUGGAUAGUUUAAAACGAGAGCGCGCUACUUCAAAUGCAGAAAAGGAACGAUGGGCAUAGUGAUUGCCAGCCCACAGAAAGGGCUUCGUGAACUAAAAUGAUGUGGAGACAAAUGCAAUCACACAGAACCAGAACGAAUUGCUGGUGGAAAUGGUUAGAGAAAGUGGGGACAGAGUAGUGGUCAGUAUUAUAUCGUCAGACAUUGACGUCGUUCGUCUGUAAACAAAAAAAAAAGCAACGUCAUCUUGAGGUUCAUAGACCAAACAAAGCGUGAAACCCUGGCAAUUGCAGCAAACAAAAAGCGUUUCAUGACCAUCGGAAUAGGAUUCUUUGAAAGUGAUGCCAUAUAUUUUCUCAACUAGCACUUUGGACGGAAAACAAAGCUCUGCUAGGUAUGGCCAUUGCAAAAAAGAAAGACAAGGACUGAAUAUUGGAGUGGGUCGCUGAGCCUAAAAUUCUUGCAGGGAAGGUAGAAAAAUUGGAGAGCUAUUCGCAUUGAAACGAUAGAAGACAUUUCAGGAACUGUGUGACGGAAUUACACGUGCCGCAUCCGACGUUAUAUUCAUUGUGUAUUUCGGCCCUCGAACAAGUCUGCUUGGUUUAACACUGGCUCCAUAUCAUGCAUUGUAACACCAAAAGAUUGCAAAGAAAUACCGAUUCAUUAUUGCCUUACUGACGCGGGUUUAAUGUCGCUACAACAUCGUAGCUCUAUCAGAAACUUGGUUAAAAGGAUGCGAAUUCUUAAGCAUGUCUAAUUACAGCCUUCUGUCCCUCCCAGUAAUUCCUGAAUCUAGCAGUGGUGCUAGACCCGUCAUAAUAAUAAAAUAUUAGAAACUGCAUGUCACUGAAUCGAGAACUGGCAACUACAAGACGCUUUUUGUACAACUCGAACACAUGCUUAUAAUUGGAGUGAUAUACAGGCCGUCAGACUCAACACUUUCGCCAUUCUUGUAUAAACUUGAAAGAAUCGUAGCAAAUAUCACAAACACGUGUAACAAGGUGAGCUUAUGUGGAAAUUGUGGAAUACCGAUCACCUCAAUAUAGCAUAUCAACAUGUCCUAUCGUGCUAUGGCUUUCAGAACCCCAUUGCUAACCCUACAAGAGUCCCAGCAAUCGCAUCAACUAUAAUUGAUCAUGUACGUUUCUAUCACAUAGAUAGCGUUAUAUCGGGAAUCAUUCUUGAAAGCAUAACAGGCCAUUUCUCGACCUAUAAACAUGUACCCUUAGAUAACUCUGACAUCAGCAUUCAAACAGCUCGCUUGGCAGAAAGGUGUGACUACAUACUAACUAGGAAACCAUUAGAACUGAAAUUGCUGAGAUCAAUCACGCCGAUGUCAGCGAAGCAUAUGAAAAAUUAUAUAAUCUAUUACUUUCCAGGUGUGUUAAACAAAAUGGAAGCUCACGUAGAGCCAGGUACUUCAUGAUUCUUAUAUAUCCAUGGAUGACGAACGUAAUAAUGUGAGCGAAUGAACAAAUACAACAUUGUCACAACCAACUGAAGCAAAAGAGAGACAGUGAUUAUUAUCGUGCUCGAGGCAAGAGAGCAAGCAAUGU
Molecule: long non-coding RNA, 2708 nt
Organism: Dermacentor albipictus
Lineage: Eukaryota; Metazoa; Arthropoda; Arachnida; Ixodida; Ixodidae
Source: RefSeq, a predicted model, not a curated record